RNAcentral lists this ribosomal RNA (253 nucleotides) under uncultured bacterium. Its description in RNAcentral is "partial 16S ribosomal RNA". It matches the Rfam family "Bacterial small subunit ribosomal RNA", at positions 524 to 776 of the family's 1533-position model. The record is from RNAcentral.
UACGUAGGGGGCAAAUGUUGUCCGGAAUCAUUGGGCGUAAAGCGCGCGUAGGCGGCCCGGUAAGUCCGUUGUGAAAGUCAAAGGCUCAACCUUUGAACGCCGAUGGAUACUGCCGGGCUAGAGUCCGGAAGAGGCGAGUGGAAUUCCUGGUGUAGCGGUGGAAUGCGCAGAUAUCAGGAGGAACACCAAUAGCGAAGGCAGCUCGCUGGGACGGUACUGACGCUGAGGCGCGAAAGCGUGGGGAGCGAACAGG